Molecule: long non-coding RNA, 137 nt
Organism: Etheostoma spectabile (orangethroat darter)
Lineage: Eukaryota; Metazoa; Chordata; Actinopteri; Perciformes; Percidae
Exons: 3
Source: RefSeq, a predicted model, not a curated record
AAAUAAUUAAACUCUUGGUGCCAAAUUUUGGUUCCAAAACCCUCGGAGCGCGUAAGCGCAAGCUGAUAUGUCCUCUCUGCGUAUUGACAACGAGCGGAGCUCGACAAACACACACACACACACACACACACACACAC